UAUGGUUAUCAACUUUGCAUAUAAGAUCGUUGAAUAAUGCCACUUAUUUUGGUCAUGACCAAUCUGCGAUAAACAACUAACUGGUUAUCAACUUUGCGUAUAAAAUCAUUGAAUAAUGCCACCUAUUUAAUGCCACCUAUUUUGGCCAUGGCCAAUCUGAGAUAAACAACUAACUGAUUAUCAACUUUGCAUAUAAGAUCGUUGAAUAACCCACUUGUUUUUUUUCCUUUACAGUAUAAAAGCCUGCAAAAUGCAAACUAUUUGUUCUUGCUCUUGUCUAGUUUUCUGAGCAUCUUCCGGAUAAAAAACAAACAUUAGCCCUAUUUUAAGUUUCAUUUAGAUGCAGCUAAAAUGAGCUUUUGAGAAAGUUCGCUACAUUGAUUGUUUUGUACUCCAUAUGAUUAUUAGUAUUAAUUCCAUAUUUUUAUUGUUUUAGAAGUUAUAUAUGAUACGCUGGUAUAUCAUUAUUGUCAUUUGUAGCACAAUAUAUAUUUGUUGACCUAUUAUCAUUUGUUUUAGUUUGAACAGGUUGAUAUUGCUAAUAACGCUGGCUAUGAUGAGAUUCAUGAUGUUCAUAGCUUAGUAGCAACAUCCAGAGGAUUGUCAGGGGAUUCAUUGAGUAAGCUACCGCACUAUACGAUCUUGAAAGACAUGAAGGGAGAGGAUUCAUUACUUUGUAAAGCAGUCAUCUUUUAAUACUGAGAAAUAUUUGCAUCUUAGUUUAAGUUUAUCUAUAUUUGCAUCUUAGUUUAUGUUAUUGAAUCGUUUGCAUUGUAAUUUUGUCGGCAUCAAAAUUCCGGAACUUUUUAUUAAUAUUAUUCAAUAGUUGUUAUUGGAGCUUUUUCUAUUUUACUAUGUACUGUCUCGACAUUUU
Molecule: long non-coding RNA, 874 nt
Filed under: Lathyrus oleraceus (garden pea)
Lineage: Eukaryota; Viridiplantae; Streptophyta; Magnoliopsida; Fabales; Fabaceae
Description: Pisum sativum (pea) long non-coding RNA (PSAT_LNC017149)
Source: RNAcentral